RNAcentral lists this ribosomal RNA (256 nucleotides) under uncultured bacterium. RNAcentral's name for it is "partial 16S ribosomal RNA". It matches the Rfam family "Bacterial small subunit ribosomal RNA", at positions 524 to 777 of the family's 1533-position model. The record is from RNAcentral.
UACGAAGGGGGGCUAGCGUUGUUCGGAAUCACUGGGCGUAAAGCGCACGUAGGCGGACCGUUAAGUCGGAGGGUGAAAGCCUGGGGCUCAACCCCAGAACUGCCUUCGAUACUGGCGGUCUUGAGUAUGGUAGAGGUUGGUGGAACUCCGAGUGUAGAGGUGAAAUUCGUAGAUAUUCGGAAGAACACCAGUGGCGAAGGCGGCCAACUGGACCAUUACUGACGCUGAGGUGCGAAAGCGUGGGGAGCAAACAGGG